AGCGAACGCUGGCGGCAGGCUUAACACAUGCAAGUCGAGCGGGCAUCCUUGUGGUGUCAGCGGCAGACGGGUGAGUAACGCGUGGGAACGUGCCCUUCGGUUCGGAAUAACUCAGGGAAACUUGAGCUAAUACCGGAUACGUGCGAGAGCAGAAAGGUUUAUCUGCCGAGGGAUCGGCCCGCGUCUGAUUAGCUAGUUGGUGAGGUUACGGCUCACCAAGGCGACGAUCAGUAGCUGGUCUGAGAGGAUGAUCAGCCACACUGGGACUGAGACACGGCCCAGACUCCUACGGGAGGCAGCAGUGGGGAAUAUUGGACAAUGGGGGCAACCCUGAUCCAGCCAUGCCGCGUGAGUGAUGACGGCCUUAGGGUUGUAAAGCUCUUUUCUCCGGGACGAUAAUGACGGUACCGGAGGAAUAAGCCCCGGCUAACUUCGUG
This 437-nucleotide ribosomal RNA is filed under the name uncultured bacterium. RNAcentral's name for it is "partial 16S ribosomal RNA". It matches the Rfam family "Bacterial small subunit ribosomal RNA", at positions 29 to 507 of the family's 1533-position model. The record is from RNAcentral.